Thunnus maccoyii (southern bluefin tuna) is the source of this 6277-nucleotide long non-coding RNA. RefSeq lists it as uncharacterized. NCBI's taxonomy places the organism in Eukaryota, Metazoa, Chordata, Actinopteri, Scombriformes, Scombridae. The transcript is spliced from 7 exons. The record is from RefSeq and is a predicted model, not a curated record.
GAAAGAUCGGACGCCGGGGGACUCCGAGACUUCGAACGAGUCCUCGUCCGAAGCGUUGAGGAGCAGUUCGAGGUCCAUGAUCACCAAACGGGAUCAGCAAACCUGGUAGUUACUAAGGUAACGGCCGAAAAAACUCCUCAAAUACCGACACACACACACACACACACACACACACACACACACACACGAUAGACGGUAAAUUAACAGUGUUAUGAGUCGGAGAUUAAUUCGGCGUGUAUCUGAUCCACCAACCAGCACUUAUUUAAGUGAGAAAUCGUAACUUUUGAAACGGUUCGCCUCUCAUUCCUACCGUCAUCUCCCACGAAAAAGGCUGGUAGCAAGUUGAGACGACAAAAUUCAAAAUGUUAAGUCUGUACUGAAAUACAUUUGGUCUGUAUGGAUUAUAUUGAUGCCGGAUUGGCAAGAAGACUAUCGACAUAUGACGUCUUCUAUCUUGUGUUUCUAGAGUUAUGUGUUUUUGUGGACAUGUAAGGAAUUGUUAAUAUGUCAUUUCUUAAAGGGAGUUUGGCGUAAUAUUACCCCGGAAAGCGCAGGGAGCUUCCGUUUAAUUCAAGCUGCUAAUAUGUGUAUUUUUAAACGCUUUGCCACCACUACAGAAACACCAGGUAACUCCUACAUUAUGAUACGGUUGGCUGACGUCGACUGCUGUAAGUUAUUGGUUUGAUUAAUGGGUUACAGUCUAAUAAUGUGCGUUUGUAUUGAUUACUGACGGUGGCUGAUUGUUCUCACUUUAUAACUGCCUGUUUUAAAACCACCUCCCUAAUUAAACACGAUGUGCUUGAUGGUGAUAAUGGUGACCCCUGAUGAAACUUGAAAGCUCACCAUUCUCGUUUCGUCUCGCUUCCCUUUUUACAAGUCACAUACCAUCUCUCUGUCUGUCACUUGCCGUGUGUGUGCAGUGCAUUUACUGUUUUUUUCACACAUAAUUUCAGGCCAGUUGGAGGAGUUAAACCUGUGAUUUUCUGCCUCUGUAUUAUUAUCCAGGCUGCUGCUGUUUCUGCUAUAUUUCUUGCAGUUUGCAGGGUGUCCAAACAGAAAUACUCCAACAUCCAGCAGCUGAAUGCUGUGUCCAGAUAGUUACUGGUUGAAGUUGGUUUCUGUGGGCAGCUUAAUAAACUGUGUAGCUGUUUUAAAGUUUUAAAGUUGUAAAAAUACCUUGUUUUCCUGUGCUUCCUGGAAAACCUGUACAUUUAAGGUUAUUUUCAACUACAGGAUGACACCCUCUUGUUUCAGCUGUCAGAUUUCUACACUGGGUCUGUAAUGUUAUAAGCAGGCUUUACAAACAGCAUUUUUUUUUAUAGCACAGGCAUGUAUUUUAGGCAAACUGCUUUUUUCAGUGCAAGCACAACUCAUUUGCAUUUUAUAAGGCUCCCUUUUAUUACUGGGCUCUUGUUUAGUGUAUUUAAUAUUGUGUGAUUGCAGGUUUCCACUGUGGUGCCAUGGUGCCAUGACGUUUUAAUGCUGUACCCUACAACAAUCAUGGCCGUAUAGUUUACUAAGAAACAUUAAUAAUCCAUUACUUACAGUUCAAAACUUGGAGCUUACAGCUUGUCCUUUACAGUAAGUUACUCAACGGACAGUAAAAAGAAUCCACUUGUUUAUCCACUGUAAAUAUUGUACUUCAGAGAUCAAGGUUUUACAUACAAAAGAUAUUUUCAGUUUACAGAGUACGAUGCAAUUUUAAAAGAUUAAAUUACCUAACAGUAUAUAAAGUAGUUAAAUAUAGCUUUUCUUCACAGCCACAACAUAAAAUGUUACAUAAUGCAUUUGUAACAAUAAUCUAGUAAUAUAAUGUGACACUAACAGGGGUCAUUCUGCUGCCAGUUGACUAAUUUUACUUUAGAUAUUUUAAGUAUAUUUUGCUGCUAUACUUCUGUACUUUAACCUAGGUAAGAUUUUGAACACCAGACUUAACUUGUAGUGGAGUAAUUGUACCUAAAGGUAUUGCUACUUCUACUUCAGUAAAAGGCCUUAAUACUUACUCCAUCGUGGAAAAUAAAACCCACUUGAUAACAUUUAAUCAAAAUAAGAUAAAAUAAAGUGAAAAUACUAUACAUAGAAUGUGUACUUCAGUAAUGGUAAUUUGAGACUUAAUAAGCGAAAACUCAGAAAGUAUUUCACCAUGUGUACACAAUAUGUAAAUCGGCACCUAGGUCUCUGAAGCCAUAAGCAAACAGAACCUCCCUUUUCCCAACAGACACAGACUCAUCACCAGUCUUGAUUAAUCGAAAUAAAUGCCUGACUCUCCCUUGAUCUAACAGUGUAUUGGCUCAGAUGUGUGACCAUAAACAUUAUGUUAAUUAUAAUGAGUUAUAUCUUGAUUUAAAUCCAUUUUGUACAAUGAAGGUUUAUUUCUAAUAGAAUAAAUGUGACGGCUCCUAUAUGUAUUUAUAAUAUCAAUAUAUCACAGUAAGUGGUAUCAAACUGAUUUUAGAUCACUACAUAAAGUGAUGAAAACGCCAUGGUCAGGUGUUGCAGGUCUUAGUAUCUGCUCUAUCUAUAGUUUAAUUUUAUGGAUUUACAUAAUAUUUCUAUUACAAGUUACAAGUAACUGUGUUAUAAUAUUAUUAUAGUUGUCUUUUUUUCCCCAGAUCAUUUUCUUGGUGUGUUCUGUUGUGUGCCAUCGGUUAAAGAGUAAGUAUUACUCAAUAUUAGUCUGUUUAUAUUUAUUAAGUGAUGAAACACAUCCUCUUACAAUGAAAGAUAGCCACACAUUACCUCUCCCCUGCUGGGUCUUUGCGGUUUUGAGUGUGCAAAGUUUGGCUUUAUGCUUCCUGUUUUUUUGCUUCAAUUCUUGUAGAGAACAUUGCACAAUUUGAAGGUUUGAGUUCAGUUACCAAACAGAGGCGUGUCCAGAAUGUUCUUUGUGAGUUCGAAACUCCACAAAAAUGCGACCCUGACCCCAAUGUGGCCAUUCCCAAUUAAUCUCGUGGGGCAAAUUAUGAAGAAACGCAUGAUGAAGAAAUGACUUGUGAUACCAUCUCAGUAACUGAAGGCAACAAAUGCAAUGACAUUGAUGACAAUGGCAAUGACAGAUUUGGUGAAUGUCUCAGCAGCUUUAGGGAGGAGGAAGAUUUUUUCUGUGACGCUCAUGACAGUUGCAACUUUGAUAACGUGCCUGAUAAACUGUGCCAGUGGGUGUAACAGUCUGGAGUGACACAAAAUGCAGUUGAUAGCCUACUUAAAAUUUUAAAUAAACACAUCCCCAUACUUCAAAAAUGCUCAAGAACUUUAAUGAAAACAUCACAUUCACAUGAAGUUAAAACAACUGACAGUGGGGAGUAUGUCCACUUUGGCAUAUUGGAACAUGUGCUCCAAAACAAAGAAGGACUACUGUCACAAACUGACACAGUCAUGUUACAGGUGAACAUAGAUGGACUGCCUAUAUUUAAAAGUUCUCCAAAGCAAUUUUGAGUAAAUUCCCUUUUGAAAAGGAUCCAUUUGUGAUAGGUAUUUUCUGUGGAAACAGCAGCAAACGACACAAUCCCAAUCAAUACCUGCAUGACUUUGGCUUCUGAUGAGGUUUUUCCUGUGGGGUUGAGGAGAUGGUGUACAAUGUUCACUGUCUGUGUUAUCUGGCAGAUGUGAGAAGGUUUGGUCCAUUAGAUUGUGUGUCUACAUUUCCUUUUGAAAACUUCCUAGGCCGCUUUAAGAGAAAGGUUAGUAAGUCACAACACAUUCUCCAGCAGAUACCAAAUGUUGUAGAGAGGUAGUCCACACAGAAGAAAUCAUCUUACCGCCCAGCUAAACUUGGUGGAAAAAACUCAAAUGGACCAACAGUGCCAAAUGUUGCUUAAGCCACACAAUACAAGAGGACCACACUUGAAAAUGCUGUAAUAAAAUGUAGUACAGGAGACAACUGUGUGAUGAUUGGUGGACAGUUUGGCUUGGUUAAGAACAUCUUGUAUGACACCACCACAGAGGAAACUUUCAUUCUGUUGAGACGAUUUUUAGGUCUGGUCCCACUGUACACAGAACCAAUUAACUCACAAGACGCUGGCAUCCACACAGCUUGUGAGCUUGAUGCAGAGGUCAAAGUGUACAAGCUUUCUGAUAUCGAGACAAAAUGUGUUCUGCUGCCACUUGGAUUGGAUGGGCAACAACUCCUUUGCUUUAUUUGUAUUAGAAUGUAUUAUAUGUGUCUGUGUGCCUGCCUGUUUUUGAUCCCUUCUUCAGGAAGUUGCAGUACAAUCAUCUGCCAACCAAGACGACUUCAUUUAACCUAUUGUACACAAAAAGUUCAGUUUACUCAUUAGGAGGAGUACCACUCAGCCUGUAAAACAGUUGUUCAGUAUCAUCUGUGGCUCUGGAGGAAGGAAGCUUUCCAAAGUUUGAAAAAACAACCCUGAUUAUAUCAUCUCAGUUUGGGCUUGAGAAAAGAUUUUUAACAAUCUGUGUUACAAACUGGAGAAGUGGGGUUUUUAAGAGGUGACAAUUUAGGAGGCAAGGGGUUUCUGUUUAAAUAUGCCAUCCAGUUGCAUUAUGGGGAAUGUAGGAUCCAGCAUUUUUGGAGCUUGAUCCAAAGUCAGGAUAUCUUGGCCUCUGUUGCGCCGAUUUUAACCAUUCUUUUUAGUCUGUCUCUUUUAAUAUGUCUCUUUUGAGUCCCCCAACAAUGUGGAAGUGCAAUUCUAAAUUGCUGGAGUACAAUUAUUCCAAUCAACCCUAUGAUUGACACUAGAUUAGAGCCUUUAAAAGCCCAUAUGCUGCCUCGCCCAAUUUUUCCCAGCCUGCAUGAGUAUUGUCUCCUCACAACAGUCUUAUGCACUUUUCCCUCCUUUUACUUUCAAUAAUAAAUAUGGAGUAUUUACUUUUGAGCCCUCCUUAAUGAUUGUUUUGGUUAUUCCCCUAGGAAGAGUUUGUUUGGUUCUCUCAGUGGUGUGUUUAAGUAGCAUUUUGCUUCUUUUGUUUUUUUCAACAGUAGCUAUUUACAGUAAAUUGUUAUUUUAGGGGUUAGGAGUAAAUCCUGGUAAGGGUAAGGUAGGCGCCAAGUGAAUCCUGGUUGGAGAUUACAGUCUUUGUUGGGGGUACACUGUUCAGUGCCUUUGGCCCAGUCUCAGGCUGAUGGUGCUGUGCUGUGUUUAAAAUUGCCUCGAGCCUGGCACGCCUCAAAGAAGACAGUCAAGAUUAAGGCAGUAUCCUGUGAGGAACUGGGGUUUGCUCAUCACCCAUAGCCUGCUAUCAAAUCUCCUAGGUGGUAGUUAACUGCUUUGUAUUAUUGUAAGGGGUAAAGGGAGACAGUAGCUGGCUUAAGCUGUCAUGAUGAGUGUCAGCAACUUGGCAGGUGGUCAGGGUACAGCCGUUUUGUUAAUAAGCACUAAAGCUUAUGCUUUUGUUAGUUGUGUGUCUGAUCUUUGUUUGAAUCACAACCAAAUGCCAUGUAAUUCAAUUUUCAAUUAAACUGUACAUUAGACCUCACCUGAUUAUGUGCAAAUAAAUAAAUAAAAAGAUAAAAUUAUUAAAUAGACUGAGAAACAGAAAUGACUACACAGAUUCUAUAUAAAUGCGUAAUAAAUAUUUAAAUUAAUUCAUUUUACAUUAUUUUGUUUUAAAAACAUGUAGCCUACACUUCACUCAGCUAAAUCCUGACUGAUCUCCCCUAUUUCUGACUUAACAAACCAUCUACUCACAUAAAUCUCGAUGACUCAACUCAUCUAUCCACACAAGAUGCCAAACUAUGCUGGUUUAAAACUCAAAUGACCUCACCUUUCUUCCAUGUUGUGGAUUUCAUGGGACGGGGAGAGGUGGAAGUGGUCAGCACUAUGUGGAUGGCUGGAGAGGAUGCCUGCUCUUAACAUCAGUAUAAAUUCCCCAAUGAUAUAAAGUGAGCUCAGCUGUAGCAUGAGAACCCAGGAGCUGACUGGGAAACAUGCAAUGUGCACUCACGCUACAAAACACGUAUGGACAUGCUCCCAUCUGAUUGGUGACGACAACAGGUGCAUGAAGUUGUGUCAGGGUGCUGAGGUGGAGCACUAUGGGAUUAACCUGUAGCUCGAUAGAGGCCUGCACAAAACAGUGGAUUAUGAGAACACCAGAUGAAAGCCAAAAAGGCUAGACAACUUCUCAUCUCAAUUAUGAAAGUGACAGCAUGCUGGGAAGUAUAAUCACACAGAUCAAUGAAUCUCAUGAGUACAGAGAACAAAUCAGAUGGUCUGCGAUGGAAGUUGCCUGAUAUCAAACAUUGAGGCAAAAUGGCCAGGUUCUGUCCAUGAUUCCAGGAUCUUUCGUACAUCAUCACUGUCCCAGAGGUUUGCACAAG